AAAUUUUCAACGAUGGAUGUCUUGGCUCCCAUAUCGAUGAAGAACGCAGCAAGAAUGCGAUAUGCAGUGUGAAUUGCAGAACCAUGAAUCACUAGAUUUUCGAACGCAACUGG
RNAcentral lists this ribosomal RNA (113 nucleotides) under Epispathidium sp. RNAcentral's name for it is "5.8S ribosomal RNA". It matches the Rfam family "5.8S ribosomal RNA", at positions 1 to 113 of the family's 154-position model. From Rfam's summary of the family: 5.8S ribosomal RNA (5.8S rRNA) is a component of the large subunit of the eukaryotic ribosome. It is transcribed by RNA polymerase I as part of the 45S precursor that also contains 18S and 28S rRNA. Functionally, it is thought that 5.8S rRNA may be involved in ribosome translocation. The record is from RNAcentral. Lineage: Eukaryota; Ciliophora; Litostomatea; Haptorida; Spathidiidae.